RNAcentral lists this ribosomal RNA (231 nucleotides) under uncultured bacterium. RNAcentral describes it as "partial 16S ribosomal RNA". It matches the Rfam family "Bacterial small subunit ribosomal RNA", at positions 89 to 334 of the family's 1533-position model. The record is from RNAcentral.
AGUACAGUGGCGUACGGGUGAGUAACACGUGGGUAAUCUACCUCUUAGUGAGGAAUAACCCUGGGAAACCGGGGCUAAUACCGCAUAAGCCUGAGAAGGGAAAGUCGAAAGACGCUGAGAGGGGAGCCCGCGGCCGAUUAGCUAGUUGGUGAGGUAAGAGCUCACCAAGGCAUAGAUCGGUAGCCGGCCUGAGAGGGCACACGGCCACACUGGCACUGAAACACGGGCCAG